Molecule: ribosomal RNA, 173 nt
Filed under: uncultured bacterium
Lineage: Bacteria
Description: partial 16S rRNA
Rfam family: Bacterial small subunit ribosomal RNA
Source: RNAcentral
CCUACGGGAGGCAGCAGUGGGGAAUAUUGCGCAAUGGGGGAAAGCCUGACGCAGCAACGCCGCGUGAAUGAUGAAGGCCUUCGGGUUGUAAAAUUCUGUCUUCAGGGAAGAAAAAAAUGACGGUACCUGAGGAGGAAGCCCCGGCUAACUACGUGCCAGCAGCCGCGGUAAUA